UAUGGGAAUGGUUUCUUCCCAGGCACUGAGGCUUGUGCCAGAAGAUCAUUCUGAUACAAAAGUUGAAAACUUCCCUGUCUGCUGGGAGAGCAGCCAAUGUGAAGUCAGCAAAAACAGGGAGGACUGACUGACUCCAAGAAGCUGACUAACUGAGCCAAGGAGAGCAAACCAGACUGCUGCUUCCCUGUGCAUGGACUCAAAUAAAUGGAGAUGUGUUUCUUUUCUGCAGUCCUGGGCUCAAGCACAGCCAAGAAAGCACAGACGUACGGUGGUAGUAAGGUGGACGGAAGGUGUUGUUAGCUACCCCCCAUCGCGGCGGGAAUAUGACAAAGUCAGCAAGAGCCACUCCAGCACGGGUUGUCUUGGCUGUCAGGACAGUGAAGAUGGAAGGAUCCUGGAAAAAAGCAAGGCAAAAAAGCAUGAAACAUGCUCAGAGCUGUGCUCACAUCACUCAGGUGGUAAUAAACCUGACUGAUUCAGCUUCUCCUUUGCUUAAACAAUUUUGUCACCUGCAUCUGAUAGUGUAGAUGAGAUUUGGGACCCUGGGGAACAGCACUCAGUAUCACAAUUCCAUGCUGUACAGGGGGGACAAGAAAUGGGUCUGGAUGGUUUGUCCUUUCCUUCAACAGCUUUGAUGAUCCUUCCCCACCCUGGCCCUUGUAGCUGCCAGCAUAGAUGAGGAGGGUGGACAACACUGCAAGAGGAGGUACUGCAAUUCCAGGAGCAGUCUCCAACACUCCUACCACCAAACCACACCUUUUCUUCAGCCAAUUACAGAGGACAGGAACAUCUUGCUAGAGGUAUUUAGUCUCAUGGCCCUGUUAGUUUACAAAUGGAGAAGAAAUUGCAGAGAAAAUUUUGGCUUGUUGAAAUCUCUAGUCCAGUAAAAUUAUUUUCUGGGCUUUGAUCCCAAACCUGUCCUUCUUCUGGCAGAUUUUUCUGGAGUUUUAAACAAUACUCUCUGUUGGUUUUCUCACUAGAAAUGCUCCAGUCUCCCUUGCAAACCCACUUGCAUUGCUGUGGGCAUCUCUCCCACUGGACUGGUUUCCUUUUUAGAUGAGUUGUUCACAUUAGUUUUGGCUUUAGUUAUUUUCCAUAAAAUCUAGAAAUUAUUACAUUGAAAGCUGCCAGCUCUUCAAAAUGAAAUUCAGUCCUGGACUCAGAGGAACCAGAGGAAGGAGUCUGUCCAAUAGCAAGAAAUAAAUUAAGGCAAGAAUUUGAA
This is a long non-coding RNA of Parus major (Great Tit), 1222 nucleotides long. RefSeq lists it as uncharacterized. The transcript is spliced from 2 exons. The record is from RefSeq and is a predicted model, not a curated record. NCBI's taxonomy places the organism in Eukaryota, Metazoa, Chordata, Aves, Passeriformes, Paridae.